UGGCAGCGUAGCUCAGUGGUAGAGCAGAGGACUUAUAAGCCUUUGGUCGUGGGUUCAAAUCCCUCCGCUGCCAG
Molecule: transfer RNA, 74 nt
Filed under: subsurface metagenome
Description: tRNA-Ile
Rfam family: tRNA
About the family: Transfer RNA (tRNA) molecules are approximately 80 nucleotides in length.
Source: RNAcentral